Molecule: ribosomal RNA, 253 nt
Filed under: uncultured bacterium
Lineage: Bacteria
Description: partial 16S ribosomal RNA
Rfam family: Bacterial small subunit ribosomal RNA
Source: RNAcentral
UACGGGGGGGGCAAGCGUUGUUCGGAAUUACUGGGCGUAAAGGGCUCGUAGGUUGCCAACUAAGUCAGACGUGAAAUCCCUCAGCUUAACUGGGGAACUGCGUCUGAUACUGGAUGGCUUGAGUUUGGGAGAGGGAUGCGGAAUUCCAGGUGUAGCGGUGAAAUGCGUAGAUAUCUGGAGGAACACCGGUGGCGAGGGCGGCAUCCUGGACCAACACCGACACUGAGGAGCGAAAGCCAGGGGAGCAAACGGG